ACGACACCAUCAACGUUCGCAUUAUUUCCUCCUCCGCGCAGAUUGCACUGAACCUCCUCGUCCCCUCUUACAGCUACAGCAGCAGCGGUAGCAGCGUUGUAAGCAGCAGUAGCAGCGUUGUAAGCAGCAGCAACAGUAGCGCUGCUGGCCGUGAGGUUGGUUGGUGGAAUCGUCGGGACGCGGAGAGUGGCGCUGUGAUGAUCGACCGGGCGGCCCAUGCUGAUGUGCUCGAG
RNAcentral lists this long non-coding RNA (233 nucleotides) under Volvox carteri. RNAcentral describes it as "long non-coding RNA (VCAR_LNC002925)". The record is from RNAcentral. Lineage: Eukaryota; Viridiplantae; Chlorophyta; Chlorophyceae; Chlamydomonadales; Volvocaceae.